GAUGAACGCUGGCGGCGUGCCUAAUACAUGCAAGUCGAGCGAACAGACGAGGAGCUUGCUCCUCUGACGUUAGCGGCGGACGGGUGAGUAACACGUGGAUAACCUACCUAUAAGACUGGGAUAACUUCGGGAAACCGGAGCUAAUACCGGAUAAUAUAUUGAACCGCAUGGUUCAAUAGUGAAAGACGGUUUUGCUGUCACGUAUAGAUGGAUCCGCGCCGCAUUAGCUAGUUGGUAAGGUAACGGCUUACCAAGGCAACGAUGCGUAGCCGACCUGAGAGGGUGAUCAGCCACACUGGAACUGAGACACGGUCCAGACUCCUACGGGAGGCAGCAGUAGGGAAUCUUCCGCAAUGGGCGAAAGCCUGACGGAGCAACGCCGCGUGCGGGAAGAAGGUCUUCGGAUCGUAAAACUCUGUUAUUAGGGAAGAACAAAUGUGUAAUAAACUAUGCACGUCUUGACGGUACCUAAUCAGAAAGCCACGGCUAACUACGUG
RNAcentral lists this ribosomal RNA (497 nucleotides) under uncultured bacterium. Its description in RNAcentral is "partial 16S ribosomal RNA". It matches the Rfam family "Bacterial small subunit ribosomal RNA", at positions 28 to 507 of the family's 1533-position model. The record is from RNAcentral.